This 256-nucleotide ribosomal RNA is filed under the name uncultured bacterium. Its description in RNAcentral is "partial 16S ribosomal RNA". It matches the Rfam family "Bacterial small subunit ribosomal RNA", at positions 524 to 776 of the family's 1533-position model. The record is from RNAcentral.
UACGUAGGUGGCAAGCGUUGUCCGGAAUUAUUGGGCGUAAAGCGCGCGCAGGCGGCCUCUUAAGUCUGAUGUGAAAGCCCCCCGGCUCAACCGGGGAGGGCCAUUGGAAACUGGGAGGCUUGAGUAUAGGAGAGAAGAGUGGAAUUCCACGUGUAGCGGUGAAAUGCGUAGAGAUGUGGAGGAGCACCAGUGGCGAAGGCGACUCUUUGGCCUAUAACUGACGCUGAGGCGCGAAAAGCGUGGGGGAGCAAACAGG